Molecule: unclassified non-coding RNA, 286 nt
Filed under: fungal sp.
Lineage: Eukaryota; Fungi
Description: partial internal transcribed spacer region
Rfam family: Eukaryotic small subunit ribosomal RNA (bases 1-46)
Source: RNAcentral
AAGUCGUAACAAGGUUUCCGUAGGUGAACCUGCGGAAGGAUCAUUAAUAAUGGAAAAGUUGCUGUGUGCCUCCCAUUUUCCUUUUUUUUUGGAGAUGGGGUUGGGGCUCAGUGAUUCUUUCUUGUGAACUGGAGGCUUGAUGCCCAUUUCUUCUUUGAAGAAGGGGUGUUGGGCUUUGCCUUUUUGUUUUUUGACAUUUGUAUUUUUAUUUUUUUGAUUUUGAGAUUGAAAUAUUAUCUCAAAAAAAAAACCAAGACAACUUUCAGCAAUGGAUCUCUUGGCUCUU